AUUAAAUGAAAUGCGUAGUGGUGGAGUAGCUGCAGAUGAACUGCCUGACUUAUGGAGAAAAUAAACAUUUAGCUGGCCAAAUAAACAUUGUGUGCCCUUGAGUUGACAUACAAAACCAGAGCGAACUGUUGGGAAAAAAUGGACAUGAGUAUUUCACUGACAGUGGUCAGAAAUAGAAGACAUUUGGAUGCCCAGUGCUAUCUAAAGUGUAAGUACUGUAAGCUAGCUGAGGUGGUUAUUUGCUAACACGUUACUAAAGGCUACAAUAGGCAGGUGGAGGAAUUACUGUGACUGUAUUUGUUGUAAAAGUUUAGUUAAUAUUGCUGUGACAAGUGUUCAUACCUCUAACCAGCAUUAAAACUUAACAACAUAGGGGUGUUUUAACCUAUUUAAAGCUUUUUAUGCACACUCCUAGCUAUAUCUACAUAGGAAGUGACUAAAGGUGAUAUAUUUUUUUAAAAAAAAAAACUUUCUUUGCUUAAUUUAGCAAAUGAAUACACCUAGACAACAGAUUCAGAAAUAAAAGUUAGUAAAAGACUUAGUUUUGACGAGCUAUCAACUCAUUGGGGACACACAAGUGAACUCCAGUCCAGGUUUUCCAAGCAACACCUGCUAACCGAGAAAUUCAAUUAAGGACUCCUCUUCCCACUUGGAGCCGGUCUCCAGGGCAGAUCUUCCGGGCGACUCGCCCUGUAAGAAAUUAGAAAAUGCUACAAUAAAACCCGAAAAACUGAAGAAAAAGAAAUGUGGCAACUUUAAUAAUGAAGGCUCCCACGCUGUCCAGCGUAAACACACACGUCCCCUUAGUUGGAAGUCCGCGAAAGACAGCGAAGUACCACAGAUCAUUCAUGGAAAGCCAUCUUCUAUAUUAAAAAUGCCACUGCUAGUACAACAAAAGAUCUCAUCACUGCGUUUUGGUUAAGACUUGGUUGGCAACCUGCUCCAUUACUGCCCCCCUCCCCUCCACUCUGCAACCAACCCUCCAACCCCCUCCAGGGAGCCUUGGGAGGCAGAGAGCCAUCACCAUGGUGAUCUGAACACAGAUCCCCCACACACCGGUCCAUUGUGACUGGCGUGCGUUGAGUGCCACUGAAGACCUCAGUGAUUCCCACCACCCCUCCGUGCCAGGACUGCUCCUCUCCCUUUGGAUCUAUUAGUUUGAAAUCGUUUGGGUGAUGACUCUUUGAAAGUGGUGGUCAUUCUGGGAUGCCGUGUUCAAAAUGCAACAAAGACCUCUCUUUUAUGCACAAAUGCUAAUUAAAAUUUUUACCCCCCAUCCCCAAGCUGCAGAGGGAAGACUUGGUAGCAAUUUGGCAGAUAAUCAAAUUGCAUUUUAAAUGGAGCCGUUUAAAGAUGACUGGGGUCUGCUCACAGGAAGACACAGUGGCACAAAUUAAGCUCGAAUAAGCUGCUAUGUGCAGGGGGGAACAAUACAACAAAAUUCACAUCACAAUAGGAGGCUGCAUUUAUGUAAAUCGCCAACAUUCAGUGUUUGAUUUAUGUUUUUUUUUUAAUUAGUUAAAAGGAACUCAGGUACACAGUCAGACUUGUUUUCUCCGAAUGCAUGCAUGCAGGAAUUCUGUUUUUCUUUUAAUUAUGAUUUCCCUCUUGCUAAGUGGCAUUUUUUUCAUAACGUGUCCUUACAAUUUGACCAGUUGAGGCAAAAUGCUAAUAAGACGUGAUUUGUUAACAGUUCGGGUACCUUGGAAACAUUUUGUUCUUAAUUUUAGACUUUCAGCCUGACAGAAAAAGCAAACUGGGUGGAAAAUGUUGUCAACAGCUAUGUUUGUCUACAAAAAUCUGCGCUUAGAAGCUGUCCCCCCACAUUUGGUAUACAUCAUUAAGUUCUUCGUGGCCCAUCAAAUUGUCUAUUCACACAGCAUUCCAGUACAUAUUAGUGACAUCUCGUUAGCAGAAAACAGAAAACUGACACAAAAAAUUUGGGAAAUGGGCCUGAAUUGUUUAUCUCUUAGAAUAAGUAGAAAGUGUGAUUCUCAUGAAAUGAUAGAAUUAGAUCAAACGUGCAGCUCUCAAAGCCUCUUUUAUCCUCUCACUUAGUCUCCCUGAAAAGUGAACGCACCAAGUGAUCUAUUCAGUUUUUAACAACAUUCUUAUGCAAGCCACAUUUCCUGUAAAGUUUAACAUUCAUCACAAGACCAAUACAGCCAUCAGAACAGUUUCAUAUCCAUAAAACUCCAUUAUGGACAGCACAACAAGUGAUGCUUGACUUGUAAGUUUAAAGGGUUCUUAAUUGGCUGUGAUUUGCUGGCUGUACAGCAGUGACAGUGGAAGGGGCAUAAUGAUCCUCCUCGGAUGAUGCAUUACUUUUCUGGCAACUUAACGCACCUUAACGCUGCAUGUAUCUGUCCUCUGGUUAAGGGUUGCCUUCAUCUCAGCAUCAUAACAGGCUGACAUGACAAUGGUCUUGACCUGCACACUACAGGUUACACUUGAGUAGAUGUAAUGUUAACCUCCUUCACCUUCUGUACAGAUAUCCACAUCCAGACAAAAGUCCCUUGAGAUCUUUUACAAUGAUCCCCCAAGGCAGUUUCCCUGUUUUCACUUUAGAUUUGUGGUUGAAAGCAGCUGAAUACAUUUAUAGAAGUAUGAAGCUCCAAAGCAGCUCUGCCUUCCAGUAUCUGAUGCUUAUCACUGAAGAAUUUAUCAGUAAAGUUGAUGAGAAAAAACAAACAAACAACAUUUUAAUGUUCUUUUCUGUUUUUAUAAUAUUACCCUUUGAGUUUGACUAACCAUGUUAAUUUUGGUUAAGGUUGGAUUAUUAUCAUGAACUCUUUCAAACUGCCUUUUUUUGACCAAAUAUUUUCAUCAUGAAAUGAAUAACUGUAUGGGCUAUGCAUUUUAACUGUCUGAGAACUGCAGUAAUAUAAAGUCCAUUUCUAAUAAUGCUGCAUUUAAAAAGCUGUAAAAUGUCUUCAAUUUGUUUAUUUACAAAACUAAUCUGUAUCUACAAGUCUGCAUCUUUUUUUAUUAUAUUAUUAAAAAGCACAAAAUAGAUUUUUGGCAAAAAGCAACAGAAAAGGGAAGGCAUCCUAAUUGGAGCAACACAGUCUCUGUCUUAUGAUGCUGAAUGACAAAUAUUGUUGCAAAGUUAAUGACACAAGAGGGAUUUGAUUGAUCAAGUGGGUGACUGAUCAUAAAACUGCAGUCAAUAUUUGGCUGUAGCUUUAUUUCCCCUCUGAACAACAGUGUGCCAGGAUGUCUGAGAUGUAUGGCUAGACACACAGCAGUGGCAAAACACAUAUUUACACUUCAGUCUCUCUGAGCAGGAUGAUGCUGCCUCUGUUUGUCAUACAGGAAAUAAUAUCCCAUGAUGCUAAAAUGAACAGUCUUAGAGUAUUUAUUCAGAUGGAGCAAAGGGUAUUGGUUAAAGCUGACCAAUUUUAGAGUAGUUGGGAUGAAAAUCUCCCUCUAAUUACUGGACUGUGUGGAUCCUCUGGUCCCAGUCCCUCUGCUGCAAAUGAUGGUAUUAAAAAGUCUCUUUUAUUUAUAGAAAUAAAAUUUUAGCUUCAGAGACAAUAGGCUAGCUCUUUUUUACGGUACAGCAGACUUUAUCUUUUUAAUAAAAAAUCCUGACUUGGUGAAAGUUUAAUUAAUAAGGGACUUAAAGCUAGGGGAAUGAGCAAGGGAGUUGGG
Acanthopagrus latus (yellowfin seabream) is the source of this 3654-nucleotide long non-coding RNA. RefSeq lists it as uncharacterized. The transcript has 4 exons. NCBI's taxonomy places the organism in Eukaryota, Metazoa, Chordata, Actinopteri, Spariformes, Sparidae. The record is from RefSeq and is a predicted model, not a curated record.